Molecule: ribosomal RNA, 1282 nt
Filed under: Salmonella enterica
Lineage: Bacteria; Pseudomonadati; Pseudomonadota; Gammaproteobacteria; Enterobacterales; Enterobacteriaceae
Description: bacterial LSU rRNA
Rfam family: Bacterial large subunit ribosomal RNA
Source: RNAcentral
GGGUUGUGAGGUUAAGCGACUAAGCGUACACGGUGGAUGCCCUGGCAGUCAGAGGCGAUGAAGGACGUGCUAAUCUGCGAUAAGCGUCGGUAAGGUGAUAUGAACCGUUAUAACCGGCGAUUUCCGAAUGGGGAAACCCAGUGUGAUUCGUCACACUAUCGUUAACUGAAUACAUAGGUUAACGAAGCGAACCGGGGGAACUGAAACAUCUAAGUACCCCGAGGAAAAGAAAUCAACCGAGAUUCCCCCAGUAGCGGCGAGCGAACGGGGAGGAGCCCAGAGCCUGAAUCAGCAUGUGUGUUAGUGGAAGCGUCUGGAAAGGCGCGCGAUACAGGGUGACAGCCCCGUACACAAAAGCGCAUGUGCUGUGAGCUCGAUGAGUAGGGCGGGACACGUGGUAUCCUGUCUGAAUAUGGGGGGACCAUCCUCCAAGGCUAAAUACUCCUGACUGACCGAUAGUGAACCAGUACCGUGAGGGAAAGGCGAAAAGAACCCCGGCGAGGGGAGUGAAAAAGAACCUGAAACCGUGUACGUACAAGCAGUGGGAGCCCCACCACCAAAGCAUUCUCUGGUGUUGAAGGCCCUGCAAAGCAGCAUCGCGGUGGCGGAGCGUCGUUUGCGACGCCCAACACACAAAACAAGCGGUGAGUGCUUUGGGGUGGGGUGACUGCGUACCUUUUGUAUAAUGGGUCAGCGACUUAUAUUCUGUAGCAAGGUUAACCGUAUAGGGGAGCCGUAGGGAAACCGAGUCUUAACCGGGCGUUAAGUUGCAGGGUAUAGACCCGAAACCCGGUGAUCUAGCCAUGGGCAGGUUGAAGGUUGGGUAACACUAACUGGAGGACCGAACCGACUAAUGUUGAAAAAUUAGCGGAUGACCUGUGGCUGGGGGUGAAAGGCCAAUCAAACCGGGAGAUAGCUGGUUCUCCCCGAAAGCUAUUUAGGUAGCGCCUCGUGAACUCAUCUUCGGGGGUAGAGCACUGUUUCGGCUAGGGGGUCAUCCCGACUUACCAACCCGAUGCAAACUGCGAAUACCGAAGAAUGUUAUCACGGGAGACACACGGCGGGUGCUAACGUCCGUCGUGAAGAGGGAAACAACCCAGACCGCCAGCUAAGGUCCCAAAGUCACAGUUAAGUGGGAAACGAUGUGGGAAGGCUCAGACAGCCAGGAUGUUGGCUUAGAAGCAGCCAUCAUUUAAAGAAAGCGUAAUAGCUCACUGGUCGAGUCGGCCUGCGCGGAAGAUGUAACGGGGCUAAACUGUGCACCGAAGCUGCGGCAGCGACG